AAGAGGAUCAGUGAAAAUACAUACAAUUAGCGAAAACGACACACAAAAAGCCAUAAGAAAAGGCUGACAGAGGACCUAAAGCUGACAGCUGCAGAUCGGACCUACCACCCAUUCCAUCUCCUGAUCUUCUUAUUCAUAGAAUAAGCGACCUGCUGCCAUGGCUUCCUAGCCAAAAACGCAGCCGGAAAUCACCAGCAAAACAACUUCAAAAUCAGUCCAAACUCAGUUCUGAAACCGUCUUCGAAGUGAGGCGAUGUUCGAGUUCGCCGGUCCGAGGUUCCGACGAGGUCGUUUGAAGUUUCCGGUCUAUUUUCGGUCAAAGUUUUCAGCUUUCUCGGUUUGAGCUCAUCGGCCGUUGAUUUUAGAUGCUGUAAAUUUUAAGCAAAUGAAAGAACUUUAUUUCACUCAAAGGUGUGGAUGUACUUACUGGAGUUUGAGCAUGACAGAUACCCCAUGAUCACUGCAUCCAGGAGUUGCUCGAGGAGCCAUUUUAUGUUUUUGAGUCAAUUGUUUUUAUUUUAUUUUCUAGUCCUAGUAGUAUUUAGUCUUUUAGGUGAUGUUAGAGUUUGCAAUAGUCAGGUUAAGUUUGCCGAGUCUUUUGUUAUUGUAUUUCUUAUUUUGUAUGUGGAAAUGUGUUACGAGUCGAAAAUCCAAAAAAAGAAGAAAUUUUGCGUU
Non-coding RNA from Nicotiana tabacum (common tobacco), 675 nucleotides. NCBI's taxonomy places the organism in Eukaryota, Viridiplantae, Streptophyta, Magnoliopsida, Solanales, Solanaceae. The record is from RefSeq and is a predicted model, not a curated record.